AAAGAGCUCGUAGGUGGUUUGUCGCGUCGUUUGUGUAAGCCCGCAGCUUAACUGCGGGACUGCAGGCGAUACGGGCAUAACUUGAGUGCUGUAGGGGAGACUGGAAUUCCUGGUGUAGCGGUGGAAUGCGCAGAUAUCAGGAGGAACACCGAUGGCGAAGGCAGGUCUCUGGGCAGUAACUGACGCUGAGGAGCGAAAGCAUGGGUAGCGAACAGGAUUAGAUACCCUGGUAGUCCAUGCCGUAAACGGUGGGCGCUAGGUGUGAGUCCCUUCCACGGGGUUCGUGCCGUAGCUAACGCAUUAAGCGCCCCGCCUGGGGAGUACGGCCGCAAGGCUAAAACUCAAAGGAAUUGACGGGGGCCCGCACAAGCGGCGGAGCAUGUGGAUUAAUUCGAUGCAACGCGAAGAACCUUACCUGGGCUUGACAUACACCAGAUCGCCGUAGAGAUACUGUUUCCCUUUGUGGUUGGUGUACAGGUGGUGCAUGGUUGUCGUCAGCUCGUGUCGUGAGAUGUUGGGUUAAGUCCCGCAACGAGCGCAACCCUUGUCUUAUGUUGCCAGCACGUUAUGGUGGGGACUCGUGAGAGACUGCCGGGGUUAACUCGGAGGAAGGUGGGGAUGACGUCAAAUCAUCAUGCCCCUUAUGUCCAGGGCUUCACACAUGCUACAAUGGUCGGUACAACGCGCAUGCGAGCCUGUGAGGGUGAGCGAAUCGCUGUAAAGCCGGUCGUAGUUCGGAUUGGGGUCUGCAACUCGACCCCAUGAAGUCGGAGUCGCUAGUAAU
Molecule: ribosomal RNA, 784 nt
Filed under: uncultured bacterium
Lineage: Bacteria
Description: bacterial SSU rRNA
Rfam family: Bacterial small subunit ribosomal RNA
Source: RNAcentral